AGCGUGAGUAGAAGCGGUUAGAUACCUAAACAUAAGGUGUCGGGACAUUGCUCAUAGU
Molecule: non-coding RNA, 58 nt
Organism: Vibrio sp. EJY3
Lineage: Bacteria; Pseudomonadati; Pseudomonadota; Gammaproteobacteria; Vibrionales; Vibrionaceae
Source: Rfam